RNAcentral lists this ribosomal RNA (893 nucleotides) under uncultured bacterium. RNAcentral's name for it is "bacterial SSU rRNA". It matches the Rfam family "Bacterial small subunit ribosomal RNA", at positions 28 to 916 of the family's 1533-position model. The record is from RNAcentral.
GAUGAACGCUAGCUACAGGCUUAACACAUGCAAGUCGAGGGGCAGCAUGACGAUAGCUUGCUAUUGUUGAUGGCGACCGGCGCACGGGUGAGUAACGCGUAUCCAACCUGCCCUUGUCCAUCGGAUAACCCGUCGAAAGGCGGCCUAACACGAUAUGCAGUUCUCCGCAGGCAUCUAACGAGAACGAAAUGUGAAGGAGAAGGAUGGGGAUGCGUCUGAUUAGCUUGUUGGCGGGGUAACGGCCCACCAAGGCGACGAUCAGUAGGGGUUCUGAGAGGAAGGUCCCCCACAUUGGAACUGAGACACGGUCCAAACUCCUACGGGAGGCAGCAGUGAGGAAUAUUGGUCAAUGGGCGAGAGCCUGAACCAGCCAAGUAGCGUGCAGGAUGACGGCCCUAUGGGUUGUAAACUGCUUUUAUGCGGGGAUAAAGUGAGCCACGUGUGGCUUAUUGCAGGUACCGCAUGAAUAAGGACCGGCUAAUUCCGUGCCAGCAGCCGCGGUAAUACGGAAGGUCCGGGCGUUAUCCGGAUUUAUUGGGUUUAAAGGGAGCGUAGGCCGUCUGGUAAGCGUGUUGUGAAAUGUCGGGGCUCAACCUGGGCAUUGCAGCGCGAACUGUCAGACUUGAGUGCGCGGGAAGUAGGCGGAAUUCGUCGUGUAGCGGUGAAAUGCUUAGAUAUGACGAAGAACUCCGAUUGCGAAGGCAGCCUGCUGUAGCGCAACUGACGCUGAAGCUCGAAAGCGUGGGUAUCGAACAGGAUUAGAUACCCUGGUAGUCCACGCGGUAAACGAUGGAUGCUCGCUGUUUGCGUCUGACGUAAGCGGCCAAGCGAAAGCGUUAAGCAUCCCACCUGGGGAGUACGCCGGCAACGGUGAAACUCAAAUGAAUUGACGG